This 72-nucleotide transfer RNA is filed under the name Pteropus alecto (black flying fox). It matches the Rfam family "tRNA". Rfam says of the family: Transfer RNA (tRNA) molecules are approximately 80 nucleotides in length. Their secondary structure includes four short double-helical elements and three loops (D, anti-codon, and T loops). Lineage: Eukaryota; Metazoa; Chordata; Mammalia; Chiroptera; Pteropodidae. The record is from Rfam by way of RNAcentral.
AGUUCCAUAGUGUAGCGGUUAGCAUGUCUGCUUUACAUGCAGAGGUCCUGGGUUCGUGCCCCAGUGGAGCCA